This 444-nucleotide ribosomal RNA is filed under the name uncultured bacterium. RNAcentral describes it as "SSU rRNA". It matches the Rfam family "Bacterial small subunit ribosomal RNA", at positions 26 to 518 of the family's 1533-position model. The record is from RNAcentral.
AGAACGAACGCUGGCGGCAUGCCUAACACAUGCAAGUCGAACGAGACCUUCGGGUCUAGUGGCGCACGGGUGCGUAACGCGUGGGAAUCUGCCCUUAGGUACGGAAUAACAGUGAGAAAUUACUGCUAAUACCGUAUGAUGUCUUCGGACCAAAGAUUUAUCGCCUAGGGAUGAGCCCGCGUUGGAUUAGCUAGUUGGUGGGGUAAAGGCCUACCAAGGCGACGAUCCAUAGCUGGUCUGAGAGGAUGAUCAGCCACACUGGGACUGAGACACGGCCCAGACUCCUACGGGAGGCAGCAGUGGGGAAUAUUGGACAAUGGGCGAAAGCCUGAUCCAGCAAUGCCGCGUGAGUGAAGAAGGCCUUAGGGUUGUAAAGCUCUUUUACCGGGAAGAUAAUGACUGUACCGGGAGAAUAAGCCCGGCUAACUCCGUGCCAGCAGCCGC